AGCGAACGCUGGCGGCAGGCCUAACACAUGCAAGUCGAACGGAUCCUUCGGGAUUAGUGGCGGACGGGUGAGUAACACGUGGGAACGUGCCCUUUGGUUCGGAACAACUCAGGGAAACUUGAGCUAAUACCGGAUGUGCCCUUUGGGGGAAAGAUUUAUCGCCAUUGGAGCGGCCCGCGUCUGAUUAGCUAGUUGGUGAGGUAAAGGCUCACCAAGGCGACGAUCAGUAGCUGGUCUGAGAGGAUGAUCAGCCACAUUGGGACUGAGACACGGCCCAAACUCCUACGGGAGGCAGCAGUGGGGAAUCUUGCGCAAUGGGCGAAAGCCUGACGCAGCCAUGCCGCGUGAAUGAUGAAGGUCUUAGGAUUGUAAAAUUCUUUCACCGGGGACGAUAAUGACGGUAC
This 404-nucleotide ribosomal RNA is filed under the name uncultured Caulobacter sp. Its description in RNAcentral is "bacterial SSU rRNA". It matches the Rfam family "Bacterial small subunit ribosomal RNA", at positions 29 to 478 of the family's 1533-position model. The record is from RNAcentral. Lineage: Bacteria; Pseudomonadati; Pseudomonadota; Alphaproteobacteria; Caulobacterales; Caulobacteraceae.